This 594-nucleotide ribosomal RNA is filed under the name uncultured delta proteobacterium. RNAcentral's name for it is "bacterial SSU rRNA". It matches the Rfam family "Bacterial small subunit ribosomal RNA", at positions 35 to 607 of the family's 1533-position model. Lineage: Bacteria; Deltaproteobacteria. The record is from RNAcentral.
GUUAGCGGCGGGCUUAACACAUGCAAGUCGAGCGAGAAAGCCACUUCGGUGGUGAUUAAAGCGGCGGACGGGUGAGUAACACGUGGGCAAUCUACCCUUCGAUGGGGGACAACAUUCCGAAAGGAGUGCUAAUACCGCAUAAGUUUCUUCGGUCUACGGACUGAAGGAGGAAAGCAGGCCUCUACUUGUAAGCCUGUGUCGAAGGAGGAGCUCGCGUCGCAUCAGCUUGUUGGUGGGGUAAUGGCCUACCAAGGCAAAGACGCGUAGCUGGUCUGAGAGGAUGAUCAGCCACACUGGGACUGAGACACGGCCCAGACUCCUACGGGAGGCAGCAGUGGGGAAUAUUGGACAAUGGGGGAAACCCUGAUCCAGCCACGCCGCGUGAGUGAUGAAGGCCCUUGGGUCGUAAAGCUCUGUGGGGAGAGACGAAGAAGUCGUAGUUAAUACCUGCGACGGUGACGGUAUCUCCUUAGCAAGCACCGGCUAACUCCGUGCCAGCAGCCGCGGUAAUACGGAGGGUGCAAACGUUGUUCGGAAUCAUUGGGCGUAAAGCGAGCGUAGGCGGUCUGAAAAGUCGGGUGUGAAAGCCCAGGG